This 478-nucleotide ribosomal RNA is filed under the name uncultured bacterium. Its description in RNAcentral is "partial 16S ribosomal RNA". It matches the Rfam family "Bacterial small subunit ribosomal RNA", at positions 28 to 507 of the family's 1533-position model. The record is from RNAcentral.
GAUGAACGCUGGCGGCGUGCUUAACACAUGCAAGUCGAACGGGAAUUAUUUUAUUGAAACUUCGGUCGAUUUAAUUUAAUUCUAGUGGCGGACGGGUGAGUAACGCGUGGGUAACCUGCCUUAUACAGGGGGAUAACAGUCAGAAAUGGCUGCUAAUACCGCAUAAGCGCACAGAGCUGCAUGGCUCAGUGUGAAAAACUCCGGUGGUAUAAGAUGGACCCGCGUUGGAUUAGCUGGUUGGUGGGGUAACGGCCCACCAAGGCGACGAUCCAUAGCCGGCCUGAGAGGGUGAACGGCCACAUUGGGACUGAGACACGGCCCAGACUCCUACGGGAAGCAGCAGUGGGGAAUAUUGCACAAUGGGGGAAACCCUGAUGCAGCGACGCCGCGUGAAGGAAGAAGUAUCUCGGUAUGUAAACUUCUAUCAGCAGGGAAGAUAGUGACGGUACCUGACUAAGAAGCCCCGGCUAACUACGUG